RNAcentral lists this long non-coding RNA (656 nucleotides) under Equus caballus (horse). RNAcentral's name for it is "lncRNA (ENSECAG00000036996.2)". The record is from RNAcentral. Lineage: Eukaryota; Metazoa; Chordata; Mammalia; Perissodactyla; Equidae.
GAAGAGAAAGCCAUUGACUUUCAGUGGAUGCCUUGAGGCUUCAGGAUUCGUAAAGAACUAGUUGUAAAGUGAUUUUCAUUGGUCCACAGAGAAGCAGGGCACUAAAAGAGAGAGGGCAGGAAGUGGACACUUCUGAAGGCAUAAGAAGGGCUUAGGUAAUGGGAGCAAUUUCACCAAAAUUGAACAUCAUUCAUAUUUCAUCUGCUAGUUCAGGUUGGAUUUGCUGCCCAAACAUUUGGAUCUGGUGACUGUGGAUCAGGAGCAAGGUUGGAUUUCCCUAAGAAAAGCUUGUGACAAAGAUUCAAGUGCUAGUAGCUCAUGUGAGUGAUGAUGUCUGGAAACACAGGUAGGAGACAGAGAAGAGAACGGCAAGCAGCCAAUAGAGGGCACAUUACCUGGGAAGUUACCACUGUGAGUAACUGGAGCUGACCCCAACUCUAGGAGACAGUAUGGAGCAUGGGUCUCAAAGUUAUCUCAACAAAGGGGUGAAUGGGCUGUUUAUACAUGAAUUCCAUCAACUAUUGGCUGACAGCUCAUCCAGGAGCAUAAUUCUUCAGCACUUCUGGCUGCUAAGCACAUGGACAAAGAAAACUCAAUUGGAAAUAUAGCAAGAAUACACUGAAAUAGUGAGGGUGAAUGUAUGGGCUGUUGCACAC